This 1325-nucleotide ribosomal RNA is filed under the name metagenome. RNAcentral's name for it is "bacterial LSU rRNA". It matches the Rfam family "Bacterial large subunit ribosomal RNA", at positions 1561 to 2925 of the family's 2925-position model. The record is from RNAcentral.
AGUGGAUGGGGAGCAACCUAGUUGUGCGUGUGUAAAGGUAGUGCCAAGAAAAGCGGUGAUCAUGAUGAAAAUCAAUUCCCGGUACCCGAAACCGACACAGGUGGGCAAGUAGAGAAUACUAAGGGGCGCGAGGUAACUCUCUCCAAGGAACUCGGCAAAAUGACCCCGUAACUUAGGGAGAAGGGGUGCCACCGAGAGGUGGUCGCAGUGAAGAGGCCCAGGCGACUGUUUAGCAAAAACAUAGGUCUCUGCAAACUCGAAAGAGGAGGUAUAGGGGCUGACGCCUGCCCAGUGCCGGAAGGUUAAAGAAGUUGGUCAGUCUUAGGAUAAAGCUAGCGACUGAAGCCCCGGUGAACGGCGGCCGUAACUAUAACGGUCCUAAGGUAGCGAAAUUCCUUGUCGGGUAAGUUCCGACCCGCACGAAAGGCGUAACGAUCUGGGCGCUGUCUCGGAGAGAGGCUCGGCGAAAUAGGAUUGUCUGUGAAGAUACGGACUACCUGCAUUUGGACAGAAAGACCCUAUGAAGCUUUACUAUAGCUUGGAAUUGUGUUCGGGCUUCCUGUGCGCAGGAUAGGUGGGAGGCGAAGAAGGUACUCUUGUGGGGAUACUGGAGCCAACGGUGAGAUACCACUCUCAGGAGGCUAGAAUUCUAACUUAAUUAAGGACAGUUUCAGGUGGGUAGUUUGACUGGGGCGGUCGCCUCCAAAAAGGUAACGGAGGCGUACAAAGGUUCCCUCAGACUGGUUGGAAAUCAGUCGCAGAGUGCAAAGGCAGAAGGGAGCUUGACUGCGAGAAGUACAGUUCGAGCAGGGUGGAAACACGGUCUUAGUGAUCCGACGGUGCUGUGUGGAAGGGCCGUCGCUCAACGGAUAAAAGUUACUCUAGGAUAACAGGCUGAUCUCCCCCAAGAGUUCACAUCGACGGGGAGGUUUGGCACCUCGAUGUCGGCUCAUCGCAACCUGGGGCGGAAGUACGUCCCAAGGGUUGGGCUGUUCGCCCAUUAAAGCGGUACGUGAGCUGGGUUCAGAACGUCGUGAGACAGUUCGGUCCAUAUCCGAUGUAGGCGUGAGAAUAUUGAGAGGAGCCUUCCUUAGUACGAGAGGACCGGGAAGGACGCACCGCUGGUGUACCUGUUAUGAUGCCAAUUGUAAACGCAGGGUAGCCAAGUGCGGAGAGGAUAACCGCUGAAAGCAUCUAAGUGGGAAGCCCACCUCAAGAUGAGUAUUCUGGUGUAAGGUCACGGGAAGACGACCCGUAAAUAGGCACGAGGUGGAAGUGCAGAGAUGUAUGAAGCCGAAGUGUACUAAUAGACCGUCGGCUUGACC